AUUAGCUAGUUGGUGAGGUAACGGCUCACCAAGGCGACGAUGCGUAGCCGACCUGAGAGGAUGAUCAGCCACACUGGGACUGAGACACGGCCCAGACUCCUACGGGAGGCAGCAGUGGGGAAUAUUGGACAAUGGGCGAAAGCCUGAUCCAGCAAUGCCGCGUGGAUGAAGAAGGUCUUCGGAUUGUAAAGUCCUUUUGGCGGGGACGAUGAUGACGGUACCCGCAGAAUAAGCUCCGGCUAACUUCGUGCCAGCAGCCGCGGUAAUACGAAGGGGGCUAGCGUUGCUCGGAAUGACUGGGCGUAAAGGGCGCGUAGGCGGACGGCACAGUCAGGCGUGAAAUUCCUGGGCUCAACCUGGGGACUGCGUCUGAGACGUGUUGUCUUGAGUAUGGAAGAGGGUUGUGGAAUUUCCAGUGUAGAGGUGAAAUUCGUAGAUAUUGGAAAGAACACCGGUGGCGAAGGCGGCAACCUGGUCCAUUACUGACGCUGAGGCGCGAAAGCGUGGGGAGCAAAC
This 516-nucleotide ribosomal RNA is filed under the name uncultured bacterium. RNAcentral describes it as "bacterial SSU rRNA". It matches the Rfam family "Bacterial small subunit ribosomal RNA", at positions 240 to 773 of the family's 1533-position model. The record is from RNAcentral.